This 105-nucleotide non-coding RNA is filed under the name Propionispora sp. 2/2-37. RNAcentral describes it as "SAM riboswitch aptamer (S box leader)". It matches the Rfam family "SAM riboswitch aptamer (S box leader)". Rfam says of the family: The SAM riboswitch is found upstream of a number of genes which code for proteins involved in methionine or cysteine biosynthesis in Gram-positive bacteria. Lineage: Bacteria; Bacillati; Bacillota; Negativicutes; Selenomonadales; Sporomusaceae. RNAcentral also lists the same sequence under 1 other name. The record is from Rfam by way of RNAcentral.
UUUUCAUCAAGAGUUGGCUGAGGGACUGGCCCAAUGAAGCCGCGGCAACCAUCCAAACGGGAACGGUGCCAAUUCCUCCAGGACACAGGUCCUGAUAGAUGAGAG